GGACUACCGGGGUAUCUAAUCCUGUUUGCUCCCCACGCUUUCGUGUCUCAACGUCAGAAAUGGACCAAGAAGCUGCCUUCGCCAUCGGUGUUCCUCUCGAGAUCUACGCAUUUUACCGCUACUCCGAGAAUUCCACUUCUCUCUUCCAUCCUCAAGCUUAUCAGUAUCUACCGCUGACCUCCGGUUAGGCCGGAGAAUUUAACAGUUGACUUAAGAAGCCGUCUACACACCCUUUACGCCCAAUAAUGCCGAAUAACGCUUGCACCCCUCGUAUUACCGCGGCUGCUGGCAC
RNAcentral lists this ribosomal RNA (292 nucleotides) under uncultured bacterium. RNAcentral describes it as "partial 16S ribosomal RNA". The record is from RNAcentral.